This 495-nucleotide ribosomal RNA is filed under the name uncultured bacterium. RNAcentral's name for it is "partial 16S ribosomal RNA". It matches the Rfam family "Bacterial small subunit ribosomal RNA", at positions 28 to 507 of the family's 1533-position model. The record is from RNAcentral.
GAUGAACGCUGGCGGCGUGCCUAAUACAUGCAAGUCGAGCGAACAGACGAGGAGCUUGCUCCUCUGACGUUAGCGGCGGACGGGUGAGUAACACGUGGAUAACCUACCUAUAAGACUGGGAUAACUUCGGGAAACCGGAGCUAAUACCGGAUAAUAUAUUGAACCGCAUGGUUCAAUAGUGAAAGACGGUUUUGCUCACUUAUAGAUGGAUCCGCGCCGCAUUAGCUAGUUGGUAAGGUAACGGCUUACCAAGGCAACGAUGCGUAGCCGACCUGAGAGGGUGAUCGGCCACACUGGAACUGAGACACGGUCCAGACUCCUACGGGAGGCAGCAGUAGGGAAUCUUCCGCAAUGGGCGAAAGCUUGACGGAGCAACGCCGCGUGAGUGAUGAAGGUCUUCGGAUCGUAAAACUCUGUUAUUAGGGAAGAACAAAUGUGUAAGUAACUAUGCACGUCUUGACGGUACCUAAUCAGAAAGCCACGGCUAACUACGUG